Molecule: ribosomal RNA, 253 nt
Filed under: uncultured bacterium
Lineage: Bacteria
Description: partial 16S ribosomal RNA
Rfam family: Bacterial small subunit ribosomal RNA
Source: RNAcentral
UACGUAGGGGGCAAGCGUUGUCCGGAUUUAUUGGGCGUAAAGCGCGCGUAGGUGGCCUCAUAAGUCCGCUGUGAAAGUCAAAGGCUCAACCUUUGAAAGCCGGUGGAUACUGUGAGGCUAGAGUACGGAAGAGGCGAGUGGAAUUCCUGGUGUAGCGGUGGAAUGCGCAGAUAUCAGGAGGAACACCAAUAGCGAAGGCAGCUCGCUGGGACGUUACUGACACUGAGGCGCGAAAGCGCGGGGAGCGAACAGG